RNAcentral lists this ribosomal RNA (800 nucleotides) under uncultured bacterium. RNAcentral describes it as "bacterial SSU rRNA". It matches the Rfam family "Bacterial small subunit ribosomal RNA", at positions 39 to 828 of the family's 1533-position model. The record is from RNAcentral.
GCGGCAUGCCUAACACAUGCAAGUCGAACGGAAACGAUGCUAGCUUGCUAGCAGGCGUCGAGUGGCGGACGGGUGAGUAAUGUAUAGGGAUCUGCCUAGUAGUGGGGGACAACGUGUGGAAACGCACGCUAAUACCGCAUACGCUCUACGGAGGAAAGUGGGGGACCUUUCGGGGCCUCAUGCUACUAGAUGAACCUAUAUUGGAUUAGCUUGUUGGUAAGGUAAUGGCUUACCAAGGCGACGAUCCAUAGCUGGUUUGAGAGAAUGAUCAGCCACACUGGGACUGAGACACGGCCCAGACUCCUACGGGAGGCAGCAGUGGGGAAUAUUGCACAAUGGAGGAAACUCUGAUGCAGCAAUGCCGCGUGUGUGAAGAAGGCCUUCGGGUUGUAAAGCACUUUCAGACGUGAGGAAAAGUUAUAACUUAAUACGUUGUAACCUUGACGUUAACGUCAGAAGAAGGACCGGCUAACUCCGUGCCAGCAGCCGCGGUAAUACGGAGGGUCCAAGCGUUAAUCGGAAUUACUGGGCGUAAAGCGCGCGUAGGCGGAUAUUUAAGUCAGAUGUGAAAUCCCUGGGCUCAACCUAGGAACUGCAUUUGAUACUGGAUAUCUAGAGUAUGGUAGAGGUGAGUGGAAUUUCAGGUGUAGCGGUGAAAUGCGUAGAGAUCUGAAGGAACAUCAGUGGCGAAGGCGACUCACUGGGCCAUUACUGACGCUGAGGUGCGAAAGCGUGGGUAGCAAACAGGAUUAGAUACCCUGGUAGUCCACGCCCUAAACGAUGUCAACUAGGUGUAUGGG